GAUGAAGAACGCAGCGAAAUGCGAUAAGUAAUGUGAAUUGCAGAAUUCAGUGAAUCAUCGAAUCUUUGACGCACAUUGCGCCCCCUGGUAUUCCGGGGGGCAUGCCUGUCCGAGCGUCAUUACAACCCUCAAGCUCAGCUUGGUGUUGGGCCCCGCCGCCCCGGCGGGCCCUAAAGUCAGUGGCGGUGCCGUCCGGCUCCGAGCGUAGUAAUUCUUCUCGCUCUGGAGGUCCGGUCGUGUGCUCGCCAGCAACCCCCAAUUUUUUUCAGGUUGACCUCGGAUCAGGUAGGGAUACCCGCUGAGUUUGAGCAUAUCAAUAAGCGGAGGA
Molecule: unclassified non-coding RNA, 328 nt
Filed under: soil metagenome
Description: partial contains 5.8S ribosomal RNA, internal transcribed spacer 2, and large subunit ribosomal RNA
Rfam family: 5.8S ribosomal RNA (bases 1-119)
Source: RNAcentral